UCGGUUCUCGUUAGAUCACCGAAGUUAAGCAUCAUUGGGCGCGGUCAGUACUUGGGUGGGUGACCACCUGGGAACACUGCGUGCCGUU
Molecule: non-coding RNA, 88 nt
Organism: Caerostris darwini
Lineage: Eukaryota; Metazoa; Arthropoda; Arachnida; Araneae; Araneidae
Source: the annotation of a GenBank genome assembly